UACGGGGGGAGCAAGCGUUGUUCGGAUUUACUGGGCGUAAAGGGCGCGUAGGCGGCCACCGCAAGUCGACUGUGAAAAUCUCCGGGCUUAACCCGGAAAGGUCAGCCGAUACUGCGGGGCUAGAGUGCAGAAGGGGCAACUGGAAUUCUCGGUGUAGCGGUGAAAUGCGUAGAUAUGUGGAGGAACACCGAUGGCGAAGGCAGCCCCCCUGGGCUAACACUGACGCUCAUGCACGAAAGCGUGGGGAGCAAACAGG
Molecule: ribosomal RNA, 256 nt
Filed under: uncultured bacterium
Lineage: Bacteria
Description: partial 16S ribosomal RNA
Rfam family: Bacterial small subunit ribosomal RNA
Source: RNAcentral